Chloebia gouldiae (Gouldian finch) is the source of this 118-nucleotide ribosomal RNA. The record is from Ensembl. NCBI's taxonomy places the organism in Eukaryota, Metazoa, Chordata, Aves, Passeriformes, Passeridae.
GCCUAUGGCAUACUGCCCUGAGAGCGCCCGGUCUCACCUGAUCUCGGAAGCUAAGCAGGGUCGGGCCCGGUUAGUACUUGGAUGGGAGACCACCAGGGAAUACCGGGUGCUGUAGGCC